Molecule: ribosomal RNA, 481 nt
Filed under: uncultured bacterium
Lineage: Bacteria
Description: partial 16S ribosomal RNA
Rfam family: Bacterial small subunit ribosomal RNA
Source: RNAcentral
GAUGAACGCUGGCGGCGUGCUUAACACAUGCAAGUCGAACGAAGCAUUUAAGACAGAUUACUUCGGUUUGAAGUCUUUUAUGACUGAGUGGCGGACGGGUGAGUAACGCGUGGGUAACCUGCCUCAUACAGGGGGAUAGCAGCUGGAAACGGCUGGUAAUACCGCAUAAGCGCACAGUACCACAUGGUACAGUGUGAAAAACUCCGGUGGUAUGAGAUGGACCCGCGUCUGAUUAGCUUGGUGGCGGGGUAACGGCCCACCAAGGCGACGAUCAGUAGCCGACCUGAGAGGGUGACCGGCCACAUUGGGACUGAGACACGGCCCAGACUCCUACGGGAGGCAGCAGUGGGGAAUAUUGCACAAUGGAGGAAACUCUGAUGCAGCGACGCCGCGUGAGUGAAGAAGUAGUUCGCUAUGUAAAGCUCUAUCAGCAGGGAAGAUAGUGACGGUACCUGACUAAGAAGCUCCGGCUAAAUACGUG